Molecule: long non-coding RNA, 975 nt
Organism: Myotis myotis
Lineage: Eukaryota; Metazoa; Chordata; Mammalia; Chiroptera; Vespertilionidae
Exons: 2
Source: RefSeq, a predicted model, not a curated record
UGCGGUGGUGAGGGGUGGGAUGGGGAGAAGACAGCUCCUUGCACGACCAAGGGGGCAAAUUGAAGAGAAGGAGAAGGGAGUUCUUAGGGGGGGAAAAAAAUCAGUCGGUGUAGUCCUUGGAAGGCAAAGAGGGAGAAAAGUUGUUUCUUCAGGUUCUCAGUGAAGGAUAAGUUAGAGAUCUGUCUGUAAGUGUACAAAAAAGCGCUCUAAACCUAGGGUGGAAGUGUGGAUGUGGGGAAGAUGCCAGGAGCCCAGGAACACCAAGUCAGGAGGAGCAAAGAAGCUAAGAAUAGGAACAUAGGAGCAGACAAGCUUUUGGAAGUAGCCUUUUUUUAAGGUCCCCCGAGAUAGGGACUUUAAGACUGUAAAUUAUUUAUUUGUUUAUUUUGCACUCUUGUGAGUCUGAAUCUUGGUGAUGGAAGAAUUUGUUGAGGGACAUGCUGUACGAGCCUUGAGAGUUAAUGGAGCAUGGAGGACAAACUGAAGAGGCAGCUUUUUCCCAAACCCACUUUCAAAUGGUGCAGCCACUACCGACCCAGUAUAAAACUUGCUCAAAAGUUUAUGAAGUUUCAAUAAACUGAACAGGGUCCCCUGGAGUGAGCAUGCGUUUGACAGAGGCAGGUAGGUAAAUUACAGUGCAGUGAUGGAAUUGCAGAGAAGCCCUGGUCUCGGCACUUUCCUAACCUGAGAUUAUUUCCAAAGACUUGCAUUGGUAGUGAUUGCAGUGAGCUGCAGUUCCCACAGGUGCUUCCUGUGGCCCACAGGAAGUCCCUCUGUUUCAUGUGAAGUUUUAAACUUUUGUACUGAAUAGAUGACCUCUUCAUAGGUCAUAUUACUUGGUUAUUUUCAACUUGCUGUUCAGAUUUAACUAUGUUACUCGGUAUUCCCUGGUAAAUCAACUGCUUAUUUAUUGAAAAGCAUAAUUGCAUAGCAGUACAGGAAUGCUAUUUCUAAUAAAGUUGUGCUCAUAAUCAC